This 482-nucleotide ribosomal RNA is filed under the name uncultured bacterium. Its description in RNAcentral is "bacterial SSU rRNA". It matches the Rfam family "Bacterial small subunit ribosomal RNA", at positions 32 to 524 of the family's 1533-position model. The record is from RNAcentral.
AAUCAACGCUGGCGGCGUGCCUCAGACAUGCAAGUCGAACGAUUAAAGCUCUCUUCGGAGAGUGCAUAAAGUGGCGCACGGGUGAGUAACACGUAAGUAAUCUACCUUCGAGUGGGGAAUAACAUCGGGAAACCGAUGCUAAUACCGCAUAAUGCAGCGGCAUCGCAAGAUGACAGUUGUUAAAGAUUUAUCGCUUGAAGAGGAGCUUGCGGCAGAUUAGCUAGUUGGUAAGGUAAUGGCUUACCAAGGCUACGAUCUGUAACCGGUCUAAGAGGACGGUCGGUCACACUGACACUGAAUAACGGGUCAGACUCCUACGGGAGGCAGCAGUCGGGAAUUUUGGGCAAUGGGCGAAAGCCUGACCCAGCAACGCCGCGUGAAGGAUGAAGUAUUUCGGUAUGUAAACUUCGAAAGAAUAGGAAGAAUAAAUGACGGUACUAUUUAUAAGGUCCGGCUAACUACGUGCCAGCAGCCGCCGUAAC